UAUCACAUACAAUGACUCGCUUGU
RNAcentral lists this non-coding RNA (24 nucleotides) under Arabidopsis thaliana (thale cress). Lineage: Eukaryota; Viridiplantae; Streptophyta; Magnoliopsida; Brassicales; Brassicaceae. The record is from RNAcentral.